This 236-nucleotide ribosomal RNA is filed under the name uncultured Actinomycetales bacterium. Its description in RNAcentral is "partial 16S ribosomal RNA". It matches the Rfam family "Bacterial small subunit ribosomal RNA", at positions 96 to 334 of the family's 1533-position model. The record is from RNAcentral. Lineage: Bacteria; Bacillati; Actinomycetota; Actinomycetes; Actinomycetales.
UGGCGAACGGGUGAGUAACACGUGGGUAAUCUGCCCUGCACUCUGGGAUAAGCCUGGGAAACUGGGCCUAAUACUGGAUAUGACCUUUCUCCUUAUGGGGUUUGGUGGAAAGUUUUUCGGUGUAGGAUGAGCCCGCGGCCUAUCAGCUUGUUGGUGGGGUGAUGGCCUACCAAGGCGACAACGGGUAGCCGGCCUGAGAGGGUGAUCGGCCACAUUGGGACUGAGAUACGGCCCAG